CUUGACAUGGGGUUUGAUUCCAGGAACUGUGAGAUCAUGACCUGAGCCAAAAUCAAGAGUCAGAUGCUCAACCGACGGAGCCAUCCAGGUUCCCCUAUUUUAAACUUUUAAGGGUGAAGUUGACAUAAGUGAUGACAAGGUCCAGGGAGUGGGUAGCUUUAUAGAAAAGGUGAGGACAUUGAAUUUGAGGAGGUCAAGCAAUCAAGAGGCCAGGAUAUUAGCUGGGUUAUCCACAUGGAAUUUUAUGUAACCUGGCAUAAAGGUGGGACUUGGGGAAGGGAGAGAAACUGCAAGUCAGGUACCAAAGUCUUUGGAGAAUGAAAGGAAAUGAAUAAGGAUGAAACACAUGGACAGAAAAGGGCCCGAAAGUGGUGCAGUCGGACUGUGUUGAACAUGCAUAAAGAUCAGAGCCCAGGAGUGAGGAAGCCAACUGCUCCUUAUGAUGCCGACUGAGGCUAGUUGGUGGGAAAAGGAUGAUAGAGCCAAGAAUGCUAAAUAUUUAACAUUGCUUAGGAGAGUCUAGUCCAGUGAUAAACUGUCCUAUCCUAACACUGUCUCUGUUGAGGAACACAGCCCCCCAAAUGUUUAGCGUGCUUCCUCAAAGGAACCUGGCUAUCCAAGGUGUCACAGUUCUAUGAAGCCACUCUCCUCCCUCUUAGCAUGCUCUAGACCUCAGAAAGGAUCACCCGUGUCUCUCUCUACCCUGUACAUACUCUCCUCACAGUACAGAUCAUCCUUCAUUGCACUUACAUGUUUAAAUGUCACUCUCAUAUAGAUACUUCCAGGGUUGUUGCAAGAUACAGUGAUCUUUUCAUGUCUGUCUCUCAGCCCUGGGCAGGCAUUCAUAAAUGUCAUUUGUGAAACAAGAGACUUCUCACGGUUACCAAAUUGGGAGGCAGAGCAUAAAAAGAAUUUUCUAUUAAAAUGGGUCAUCAAGCCUUAAGCUUUUGAUUAUAAAGAAUGAUUUUCUGGUGCACCUGGCUGGCUCACUUGGUGGAGCACCUGAGUCUUGGUCUCAGGGUGGUGAGUUCAAGCUUUGCAACAGGUGUAGAGAUUACUUUAAAAAAAAAAAAAAGAUUUUCUAAUAAAUAUUAGAAAGGAGAUGUAAUAUUUCUUCACCAACUUGCACGAUAACAUUUCUGAGCACCCUAUAUUAGAAGAAGUCAUGGUUGAGACCUCAAAGGGAAAAAAAUCAGGAUCUAAAAAAUAAGGUUGUGAACUUGUAAAAUUCUUUACCUUCAAUAUACCAAACUAAAACCGAUAAUGAAUUAGCAACAUUUUAUUUGUAUUCCUUUUCUAAAAACUUUUGAGGAAUUUACUUGCUGUACAGGUUAAAUGUGACGCUUAUAAAUCCACUUUUGCUAUAGGUAAAUAACCUGAGAAUAUUUUAUUUAUUUAUUUUUUAGUUUAUUUAUUUUGAGAAAGAGAGAGGGGGAGAGUACAUGUGCAAACAGGGGAGGGGCAGAUCCCAAGCAGGCUCUACACUAACAGUGCAGGGCUAGAUCCCAUGAACCACGAGAUCAUGACCUGAGCUGAAGUCAAGGUGGGAUGCUCAACCAACUGAGCUACCCAGGCGCCCAACCUGAGAAGGUUUUAAAAUUUUGUUUCUGGGUUACUUUCAAGUGUCCCGUGCCUGAUUUUAUUAUUUUGAUUCACUAAGAUUUUAUACAAAUGUCAAACUUUCUAAAUCAUAUAUAUUUGACAUAAAUUCCUAAACAUGUGGAGAAAAUAUACAAAACAAAAUAAAUGUAUCCUAGGAUUUUAUUCUAGAUGAAGUCACAUGAAGUCAUAAUUGGCAGGUCAGCCUAGUUGGCAGCCCAGGAAAGGGAUAAGCGGCUUACUAGGAUUUAUUUACAGGGAAGCAAAAAGAUUUUGUUUUAAAGAUGGGAAAAUAAUAGAAAUUUUAAAGAAAAACAUUAUUUUGAGGUGGUACAAAGCAUUACCAUUAGGUACUUUAAAAAAUCCUUUAGAGUUUGAAUUCAAAGAACAUAUUUGCUCCAAAUUUAGUGAUAAAUAUCAGUCGUCCUUCAGUUCUUCAAAAUGUACAGGAAUAUUUAAUCAAUAUACAUAAAUUUCUAUAAAAACCUCAUAAAAUUAAUUAUUUUAUUUGAACUCAUAAUGUCCUGUGAGCCCUUAGCCUUAUUCUCCUUAGAGUUUGGGGAUUCAGGAAAAUAGACAUUUAUACAGCCUUUGCAAUGAAUUAAGUGAACACUAUUCCCUCCUCAUUACUGCACAGGGUGUAACUCAUAAAUGAGUAAAAACUGCAUUUUCUAUGAAAAGAUGCCCUGAGAAAAGCAAACCGAUAGUGGAAAUUCAGAGAAGGUAGUGGUUAAUGUUCAUUCAGUAAUAAUAUAAUGUGAUACAGGGUUUCAUUUUAGCGGCAGAGAUUUUAGUAGCUAUGUAAAUUCGACUACCAAGUAUUUGGUCUUUAAAAGUUGGGUAUGCAAGCAUGUAGACUUUCCAGAAUUAUGUGAGGAAAACUGUAGCUAUAGUCAUUUAUAGCUAUAGAAUUAGAGAUUUUGAACAUUCUAGAUCUAUCCAUCAUGAAUAUAAAAUAACUGUCUAUGUCUCAUUUUAGAUAGACCAUUGUGUUUUUUCAGGGUAUGAUAUUUUUGAUUUUCCCAAAUCCUUUUCUGAUGAUAUUUCACAUGUUGUUGGUUUUUCUGGCCACAGCAGAACACUUAGCUGAUUAUCUCCCAAGAACUGUCUACAACUCUAUAAUAAUUCCUGUGUCUCCUUCGUAGUUCUAACUGAAAGUACAGCCGUCAUCAGACAUACUAUAAAUAUAGUUGGGAUAAUCUCUUUAGUUACAUUAUCUUACACUUAGCCACCUCAAAACGCGAACACUUUUCUGCCUGUUCACACAGUUUCAAAAUGUCUUUCAAUUAUAGUUUUUUAGCAUUCGUAACUCAGACACAUUAAAUACUAUUUGUGUAUUUAGAAGGAUGGUAUGGUUAAUCACCUCCAGAAUACUCAUCAAAAUUUAAUGAAGAUAUCAACAUUUUCCCAACUUUUGUUAAAAUAAAAAUCUCUAUAUAUUAACCAAUGUUCCUAUACUUUUGCUAACUAAAAAACAAAAACAAAAACCAGUUUGAUUCCUUGUUUAAAAGUCUAUAUGCCAGCAUUUCAAUUUUUACUAUACCUCUUCAAGGAACAAAAUGUACCACACACUUGAUGACAACCAAUAACAACGCACAGAAAAGAUGUUUGUAAACAAUGACCACUGUUAUUUAUAAGAGUAUUUUCCUGAAUGCAAAAAAUGUUAGCAAAGUAUUUUUUCACUGUUAAUACCACACUAUAUUAUGUCAAAUUCAGGUCAAACACAAUUUUUUAAAAAGCUGUAUUUAUAAUGUGAAGAUUUGCUUAAUUUGUUCAGCAAAUAUUUACUGAGCAUUUACUACCUGCCAGGCAUUGUUCUGGGAAGUGAAGAUUUAGAAAUGAAAAAGACAAGAAUGGUUCCCACUUUUCCAUUACCAAGAAGCUUAUUUUACCUUGGAGCAUUCACAUUAAAAAAUACAUAAACCAGCAGUAAAGUAUUAGAUUGUCAGAGAUGUCACAGAAUUGGGGUUGAAAGGAGCUCAGAGAUCAUCUACUAUGUAUAUAUUACCAAUUCCAAGAAGCACCUUAUUUUACAUUUUGAUGCUGCGAAAACAGCCACAUCUUACAACGUGGUCAGACCAGGCGGUGCUCAAGGGAGAGCUGUCACUGCCUGCACAUGCGUGUCAAAACUCAAGGAACAGGUGUCAGAAGCUUGGAAGACAAUAUGGGAGACAGUGGUGAAGGCAUUCUUAAGGAUUCUUGAUGAUGCAAGAUUCAAUUAAAUACAAUAGUUGAAAGUGUUCGUUUCUUAUAGGAGAGGAAAAUGAAAUUCAGACAGGUUAAAUGACUUGCACUAAUUUACAAAGCAGGGUAGGUAGUAUGAGUCCAGGUUCUGAGUUCUAUUCUUAUUCUUCUACCAAAGUCUUCAGAUAUAUGCAGAGAAAGGCUCUAGAAUAUGGUUCUAGUUUUAGGACCAUGGGCAAGGAACUUUAUCCUCUGACUCAGUUUCUCCAUCUGUAAAAAACAGUUUAACAGACCUAAUUCAUGACAUUGUACUAAGUAAGAUAAUGUACGUACAGGACUUAACAGAGUUUGGCAUACGGUAAGUGCCAAAAACUAUCUGAGAACAAACUUCACAUUUGGUAGGAAAUUUAAAGUGACCAAUUAUCCUACAAAUAUUGCUCACUAUACCAAGCCCACAUCUAGUUAUUUAACUAAAAUACUGAAAAUAAAUAGACUGGUCAAAUAUUUGAGCUGAUUAAUAAAAAAUUUCCACCUUAACAAUGCUUUGUCCAGGUCUAUAUGGUACUAUUCCAAGAACCCAGUAGACUUACCUGCAAAAAACCAUAGAAAAAAUAAGAAUUGACACCAACUAUGAUUAUCAAGUUACUAAGGACUCUGAUAUAUAUGAAUGCAUUUAUAAACACAACCUGAAACAACAUAUAUAUAAACAAGGAAAGAAUAUUCAAAAUGCAUAAACAGUUCAUUUAUUUUUGCUUUCUAUAAAAUAUUAUUACAACCAUAUAUAUUAAUACUUGUACAAGAACCACAAGUUUUGGAGGUUAAAAUGUACCUACCCUAGGAGGACAUGAUUUGGUCAGAAGAGUGAGAGUACUGUUCAUGAUCAAUAUAUUCCUUUAUAUGUUGUAAAGCACUUUCCCAUUCAUUAUCAACUCAGUGCCUUGCAUAUAGUAUAUAAUUGUAAAAAUAAAUCCCAGGUGCUUUCUAAUGCCAUUUGUAUUCUGUUCAAACAAUGGCAUGUUUAGAGAAUGGUUAAAUAUCUACAUUUCUUUUUUAGGUCUUUCUGGUCAGCUCUUCUAAUUUGGGGAGUUUAAGUGAAAAUCUAAAUUAUAACACACCGUGUUAUAUACAGUCAACCUGCCUUACAUGUUAGUUUCUAUAUUUUUGUUAUAAAAAUAACAUUCUAUAUGUAUAUUUCACAUCAUGAGUUUAUUACAUUCUAUAUGUACAUUUCACAUCGUGAGUUCAUUACAUAGUUUCAACUGAGAUUCUGAAUGCAACAGAUAUACAGUUAAGCAGUUAAAAAGUAAUUUUAAUUACUAGGAAAUGUUAACCAAUCAACUCACAUUUGUUCUGGUUUCACCCGGAGACAAAACUGGAGAGAACUAACCUAAACGAAUAUAUCUAUAUUUAGAAUUAUUGUAUUUGCAGAAGCCUCUCGCAAUUAAAGUCUUAUCACGAGGUACAAUUCCGGUGUCUUUGUGUUUCAUCAUGACAACUACGCAGUAGCAAAGUGCAACAAUUUUCUGAAUAUUUUAAAUAUUAUUUUAUUUUCUUAUACCCGUUAGUGUUAAGAAUGCUUUUAAGAAAUCUCACAAGCUCUAAUAUGUUAUCCAACUUUAAACCUUAAAAGAAAAAUAACCCAAUAUUCAACAUGUGAAGUUUCCCUAUUAAUUCUGAAAUUUAAAACUAACAUUAUUAGUUUGCUUAUGUUUGGGAUUUUUAAAGACCAGUCACAUCCCGGAUAUUAUUCGAGGGUCAAAGUCUAAAGCUGAGUAUGGUUGGGUUGGCAGGGAACAGCCCGAUGGCCAAAUGUAAGAGCCCCACGGCAAGGUGCAUGUCGGGCAAAAAGACCAGGAGCAAGACUCCAACGGGCACGGCAGCUCGAGGGCACUUAGUGGGGCGCCCCAAACCUCUGCCGCCCCCAAUUUCCUAGCGUGCCCCGCCUCUCUCCGUCCUCGCCUCCGGCCCGCCCCUUCCUCCCGGGCUAGCCCCCGCAGUGCCCGCCCAACUCCAGGACUACGCGGAGAGACAGAAACCAAAACCCGGCACACACGGAAAGCCUGGGCCUCCUUAAAGCCCCAACUCUGAGCGCUUUCUGGGCAGCUCUCGACUCGAACUCCACUGCGGCCCCUCACUGAUGGCAGCCAUGUUAGUUGCAUCCGGGUAUGUCGAGGAGCCCCGACCAAAGUCUCCCGGAAGUGACGCGAGCGCGGAGGGAUUCGCGUUCGGCUGAGGUGAAGGGGCUCCGGAAGCGGGUGCGGUAGAGACGGUGACAGGAAAGGUUGGGUCUUAUUCACUACCGAGUUCUUGUAUCAAGUUUUAUGUGUCAUGUGUUGUGCUCGACAUCAUCAUUGCCGUGCCAUUUAAAUCCUUUCUUCCCAACAGGCCCAGGAGGAAGAAAUUUUAUCCUUUCCAGUAUGGAGACAUUAAGGGUCGCAGAGGGCAAGUGAAUUGUCUAAGGUCAUUCAGCUUGUAUUGAUCGGAGCUGGUCUGACCCCCUCAGUUUGGCUGCGGAGCCUGUCUUUUAAAUCUCCGUAAUGCCUACGUUUAGCAAAAUCCCAAUCUCUGGUGCUUGCAUCCUGGCAGGUCGCUUCGGCAAGGGCGUUCACCUUCAGCUCGGCAACAUUUGCCCAUGGAAUGGUGCCAAGCCACCGUGGUCUUUGCGGUGGACACAGACCGAACUGUGUGCCGGGGUCACCUAAACUAACCCAGUGCCCUGGGAUCUCACUUGGUCUCCUACCCCUUGAGUCUGCACAUGCAGGGUUCUUGCUGACCUCGACCGCAGGUUAGCUGUGGGGAUUGGGCACUGACUGUUGGAGCUGGGAAACAUUUUAACUCCUGUCGGGCACUUGUAAAGUCCAGACUGUUCAGACCAUUCCAGGCCUGUCAUCAUCGUCCAGUCGGUCUUGAUAAAGGACUGACAGCUAUUAUGUUGGGUUUUCCACCAAAUCAGUUGUUUCUCUUGGUUUCCAUUUCUUUAGAAUAUGACUGAGAACCAGUACUUUGAUCUUAUGUCAACAUUAACUAUAACCAGCUUUCAAAUACUGAAGUGUGAAUAGCCAGUGAGAUCUUUUUUUCUUUUUGCUGUGUGUUGUUUUCUUUUCUUUUUCUUUUUCUUUUACAGAGAGCCCACCAGGUGGGGAAAUAGCCACACACACCCCAACACCUCCUUAGAAUGGGAACUCUGAGACCCCUGGGUGUCAAAGGUCCCAGGGCCACCGUGUCCUCAGGGAAGGACAGAGCCCAGUGCUGGAUAUCAUGGGAGCGAGGCAAUAUUUUUGUAAAAAUAAAUUAUGUAUAGAAAAAAGCACUAAACAAAUACAUCAGAAUUAAGAAUGAUAAUAUUUGAAGAGUGGCCACUUAAUUCUUUUCUUUUCUUUUCUUUUUAUUUUUUAUAUCUGCUACAAUAUCUUUUUAAUAUAGGGAAAUAAACAAAUUGACCGCAGCAAAUCGUUUUUAAUUGCUUGCGAUAAUGAAGACAAAGACAUAUUGCCAGAUUUUGACCAAUGACAGUCCUUGACACAAAUUACAGGAAUUCUGUUUGGAAAAGCAUUGGUUUUUGUCAGGAUGUUAUCAAAAUACAGUUUGGGUAUUGAUGUUUUUCACACACCUUUGUAUAAAAAUAUCCUACAAUCAAAGUUUUUCUUCUAAGAGAAAGAGAAGGAUUUGGGGCACUUGAAAUUCUGGAGAACAAGUGUAAAAAGCUAUUUUUAUUCUGCUUUCUUUGGGGUACAGCUUUAAGCUAUUUAUCAGGUUUAGACUGUGCAAAAUAAAGGUUUCAUUCUCUAUUUCUGUA
Long non-coding RNA from Felis catus (domestic cat), 7579 nucleotides. RefSeq lists it as uncharacterized. The transcript has 2 exons. The record is from RefSeq and is a predicted model, not a curated record. Lineage: Eukaryota; Metazoa; Chordata; Mammalia; Carnivora; Felidae.